CCUACGGGAGGCAGCAGUGGGGGAUAUUGCACAAUGGGGGGAACCCUGAUGCAGCGACGCCGCGUGGGUGAAGAAGCGCCUCGGCGCGUAAAGCCCUGUCAGCCGGGAAGAAAAUGACGGUCACUGAAGCAGAAGCCCCGGCUAACUACGUGCCAGCAGCCGCGGUAAUACGUAGGGGGCAAGCGUAAACCGGAUGUACUGGGUGUAAAGGGGGCGCAGACGGCGAUGCAAGCCAGGAGUGAAAGCCCGGGGCCCAACCCCGGGACUGCUCUUGGAACUGCGUGGCUGGAGUGCAGGAGGGGCAGGAGGAAUGCCUGGUGUAGCGGUGAAAUGCGUAGAUAUCAGGAGGAACACCGGUGGCGAAGGCGGCCUGCUGGACUGCAACUGACGUUGAGGCCCGAAAGCGUGGGGAGCAAACAGGAUUAGAUACCCCUGUAGUC
This 440-nucleotide ribosomal RNA is filed under the name uncultured bacterium. RNAcentral describes it as "partial 16S ribosomal RNA". It matches the Rfam family "Bacterial small subunit ribosomal RNA", at positions 338 to 795 of the family's 1533-position model. The record is from RNAcentral.